Molecule: ribosomal RNA, 914 nt
Filed under: uncultured Flavisolibacter sp.
Lineage: Bacteria; Pseudomonadati; Bacteroidota; Chitinophagia; Chitinophagales; Chitinophagaceae
Description: bacterial SSU rRNA
Rfam family: Bacterial small subunit ribosomal RNA
Source: RNAcentral
AGAGUUUGAUCCUGGCUCAGGAUGAACGCUAGCGGCAGGCUUAAUACAUGCAAGUCGAGGGGCAGCAGGGGUGUAGCAAUACACUCGCUGGCGACCGGCAAACGGGUGCGGAACACGUACGCAACCUACCCAAAACUGGGGAAUAGCCCGGGGAAACCCGGAUUAAUACCUCGUAACAUAAUGAAGUGGCAUCACUUUAUUAUUAUAGCUCCGGCGGUUUUGGAUGGGCGUGCGCCUGAUUAGGUAGUUGGCGGGGUAACGGCCCACCAAGCCUUCGAUCAGUAACUGGUGUGAGAGCACGACCAGUCACACGGGCACUGAGACACGGGCCCGACUCCUACGGGAGGCAGCAGUAAGGAAUAUUGGUCAAUGGACGCAAGUCUGAACCAGCCAUGCCGCGUGAAGGAUGAAGGUCCUCUGGAUUGUAAACUUCUUUUAUAGGGGAAGAAACCUCUUGAUUCUUCGAGAGUUGACGGUACCCUAGGAAUAAGCACCGGCUAACUCCGUGCCAGCAGCCGCGGUAAUACGGAGGGUGCAAGCGUUAUCCGGAUUCACUGGGUUUAAAGGGUGCGUAGGAGGGCAGGUAAGUCAGUGGUGAAAUCUCCGAGCUUAACUCGGAAACUGCCGUUGAUACUAUCUGUCUUGAAUACCGUGGAGGUGAGCGGAAUAUGUCAUGUAGCGGUGAAAUGCUUAGAUAUGACAUAGAACACCAAUUGCGAAGGCAGCUCGCUACACGAAUAUUGACUCUGAGGCACGAAAGCGUGGGGAUCAAACAGGAUUAGAUACCCUGGUAGUCCACGCCCUAAACGAUGGAUACUCGACAUACGCGAUACACAGUGUGUGUCUGAGCGAAAGCAUUAAGUAUCCCACCUGGGAAGUACGACCGCAAGGUUGAAACUCAAAGGAAUUGACGG